This 23-nucleotide non-coding RNA is filed under the name Arabidopsis thaliana (thale cress). The record is from RNAcentral. Lineage: Eukaryota; Viridiplantae; Streptophyta; Magnoliopsida; Brassicales; Brassicaceae.
AUCCGUGUACGUCGUUGUGUCUA